Molecule: long non-coding RNA, 1436 nt
Filed under: Pavo cristatus (Indian peafowl)
Lineage: Eukaryota; Metazoa; Chordata; Aves; Galliformes; Phasianidae
Description: lncRNA (ENSPSTG00000007815.1)
Source: RNAcentral
CUGACGUUUACCCAUACUUCCUAUUGGUGCUGCAGCAGCUGAAAGGCAUCUGGUCAGUGUCAGCAGUUAUCUGCCUUUUUUCUUCCUACUGUGCCUCGUUAACGUAUGCUCACUAACUCAAUUCUGUUUUGAAAGGAAAUAUAUGAGAAAUUAACCGGCAAGGCAUCAGCAGCUGCCAGAACUCCAGGGGAAAAGAAAUCCAUGAGCUAAUGGAGUUAGCAGCAAUGCAAACUUGGACAUGGCUACAAAUUGCUUCAGCAUAUGUGAUCCUGAAAACAAAGAGAGGGUCAAAGGAAUUGGGAAUCUGGGAGGAAAGCCGGGGCAUUGCCUGUGGUGUAUAGCACAGUCCCGUUUCCUGCAGCACUUGCCUGGCUCAGCACUGAGUCUGUGUGCUGAGAUUCAGUGCUGCACACUGGGCGCAGGGAGAGCUCUUUCUUGGUUGAUUCUUCUGGACUGACUUCCCGAGGCAGGAGCUGGAAACCAAAAUGGCAUCAGGGUUUCAGCACACAGAGAUGCUGUAAAUCCCAGUGAAUGAGGCCCAGUGUGGAGUGGUUAUUUUCAGGCACACUGCUACCAAUCUAUCCUGAGAGAGAGCUGGUCUCUGGGCAUCAAUAAGAGAACUCAGACAACACAGCAGGAGCAGGAGAGAUGUACAGGAGUCAUUUAAAAAUAGAAAAAUAUAAUUUAAAAACAAACUCUUCUGGAUGUAACUUGAAAAAUAAGCAAGUAGAAAAUAUGAAAUAAAUGCAAAUAUCUCCAGGUUUCUAGUUCUUCAAAAGUGAUGAUGGUUCAGGUGGGUGAUGAGCAGCUACGGAAGUAAACUAUUAAAUCAAAGAAAAAAGAGAAUGUAUGUACAUAUGUAUGCACUUUGAAAGACUUAUGCUGAAUUAUAAAUACUUCUGAAUCCUAAAAUAUAGAGCUUGUCAGUGGUUUCUGUCGAAGAUUGAACAUCUGAUUUCAUUUGUUCACAGCGCAGUCUGUAUGAGAUAUCACAUUAAAACCAGAGAGAAGGGAGAAAGACACCAUAAUAUCCUGUAGGCUUAAAAAAAAAAAAGAAAAAAAAAUUAAUGGCAGCUGAAUAAUUAUUAAUGGGAAUCUCAGCAUGGAUAGAUGUAUGGAGCAGGUUCCUCCAGGAAUCAGCUCUUCCCAUCCAGUCAUCAGUAGAUGAGCUUCAAGAGGCAUGGUUCUUUCUUCUCUUAUAAAUGCAGGAAUAUUUAUCAUUGUGAAGGCUUAUCCAUAAUGCAGGACAGUGGGGAGGUGCCACAUUUGUAGGCACAGCCUGAGGAGCACAGGGAUCUGCCCAGGAAGGAAGAAGAGCCACGAGCAGCUCAGGGAAGGUGGAGGAGGAAGCAGCUCUGACAGAAUCAGUGACCUGCAUUCUCAGACCACUGAAUUGCAGGAAGACUUGGAGACAGAGUGAGCAGACAGCAAAUAAA